This 497-nucleotide ribosomal RNA is filed under the name uncultured bacterium. RNAcentral's name for it is "partial 16S ribosomal RNA". It matches the Rfam family "Bacterial small subunit ribosomal RNA", at positions 28 to 507 of the family's 1533-position model. The record is from RNAcentral.
GAUGAACGCUGGCGGCGUGCCUAAUACAUGCAAGUAGAACGCUGAAGGAAGGAGCUUGCUCUUUCCGGAUGAGUUGCGAAUGGGUGAGUAACGCGUAGGUAACCUGCCUGGUAGCGGGGGAUAACUAUUGGAAACGAUAGCUAAUACCGCAUAACAGUAGAUGUUGCAUGAUAUCUACUUAAAAGGUGCAAUUGCACCACUACCAGAUGGACCUGCGUUGUAUUAGCUAGUUGGUGAGGUAACGGCUCACCAAGGCGACGAUACAUAGCCGACCUGAUAGGGUGAUCGGCCACACUGGGACUGAGACACGGCCCAGAAUCCUACGGGAGGCAGCAGUAGGGAAUCUUAGGCAAUGGACGGAAGUCUGACCGAGAAACGCCGCGGGAGUGAAGAAGGUUUUCGGAUCGUAAAGCUCUGUUGUAAGAGAAGAACGAGUGUGAGAGUGGAAAGUUCACACUGUGACGGUAUCUUACCAGAAAGGGACGGCUAACUACGUG